CGAGAAAUUAAUAAAGAGACAAAAGGUGAAAAAGAUGUUAAAAAUCCAUUAUACAAGCGGCACACAAAUUGCAGCAAAACAUUAUUUUAUUAUUACAACACUAUAAAACUCAUCAAGAAACAUUCAUGAAACCCCACAAAGCUAAAAUCCCUCAACCCCCAAAAACUGCUGAAGUAAAGCACGCUAACAAGCAAAUGUGAAUAUGGUAAAUAAAUACAAGUCAAUUUUGAAUUUCAGCUGCAAAACCCUCAGAAGAUCGAUUAACUGGAAUAAAGGAUGAAGGUGGUUUGGUUACUGCAAAUAGAAUAUCUGCAUAACCAACCACGCCAACCAAAACAUCAUCACCAUCAUCUUCAGUCACCCAUACAUGGGUUGCCCUGUGAGACAGCAUCUGAGCCAUAACUGCAGCCAACGAACUCGUAAUUUUACAUGUUAGGGGUGCACUUCUUCCCCUAUACAUGCUCCUGCCAAUUCCAAAACUUGAGCUUCCUGGAUUGAACCCGAUGCUCCUGCUGCUGAAUUUCCUUGUUCUUGUUGAUCCACCACCAUUAACCAUAUUAUUCUCCCCACCUGUUGAGUUAACUGUAAAGUCGGGAAAUGACCUUACAGUCAAAUUGUCCUCAACCCCCAUCACAAACUGCCCUGCUGAAAGAUUGGCUAGAGCCCAUGCCGCAGCCAAAUAAUCACAUUUCCAUAAUCUGGAGGCUGAUAUUUCCCCUAUAAUCUUAAAACGGCCAUCUGAGAUGGGCUCCACAACAGCAAUGGCUGCAGGGUCUUUGGGCAGCUUUUGUGUAGCUUCGAUGGCUGGAAAAGAGGCCUCAACUGAAUAGUAGUUCAAGUUAAUGGCUCCAACAGAAGAAAUGGAUGAAAGAGGGAGUGGAGCUAGAGCACCAAGGCAACCAAUCAGAAAACGGAUGACAUCUUCUCUAGAGAGACAGCAGAACUUGUCACGGCUGGAACUAGGGGUAGAUGAGGAAGGGCGACUGGUGUUGAUGGUGAGGUUAUUGCUGCUGCUGUUGCUGGAAUCAACAUUCUUGAGCCACUUACCAUUGUAGAGGAUUGAGAAUCGUUUGCUCAUGCCUUUCCAUACUGUGCCUUUGGUGACUAGAAGACGCUUUACACCUUGCUUCAUCAUCUCCAGUGCAUCAAUCAAUCUGUUAGAAACACCAAAUGUUAUCACUUUCUGGCCAACAUGUAUCAUGAAUUAUAGUUGUAUUUAGUGUCAUAUCUCAUCACAAAGCAUUUUAAAAAUCUCACACUUAAUGAGGAACUUUCUUCCCUCAAAUAAUAUAUCAUGAAUUAAAACAAACAUUCAAACAUAAGAAGUAAUCUGAAAGAAUCCUGUGGCCUUGAAGGAUAGGGGGAUGCUUGAAUAAAUAAUUAAUGUCAAAGCCCAAUGACAAAUAUAUUAUUCACUCAAGAUUUUUAGAAAAGAAAAAUAGUUAUUACAGCUCAAUUCUAAGACUAGAAAAGAAGGAGAAAGUAUUUACUAUUUUGUAAAGAAAAGAAUUCAAAACAUCCUAAAUCAGCCAUAAAGCCAUAUACAUAUUCCUUUCUGGGGAAUGCCCACAUCAAAUAAGACCCAGCCAGCAUCUGUCCAAGUCUAGUGCUAAUUCCAAGAUUACAUGCGUGUAAGUAAAACAGUAAAACACACAAAACAAUGCGAGCCAAAUGAACAUAUCGGACUCUCCAUAACCUCACCCUUCAUCUGUUUCACCACAUGGAUGUUAAUUGCGGCCUCUGCAUCCUCUAUUUAAUUCACUUUUUUUGCAACUGUUGAUUCUCACAUGACAACAUGGUUUCAGAUGGUAGACAUAACAGCCAUCGACUGUAAAGUGUAAACAAAAGGGGCCCUUUGUUUUUCAAUUGCACUGGUUAUUGAAGUUGAUUAGUAAAUAAAGGAUAAAGCAUGGAUUCAAUGUCUUUUAUCUGAUGUAUGAAGAUCAUCAGUUGCAUUUCCUAAAUUUUAGUCAACUUCAAGAACAUAAAUGCAUUUUAAAAAAAAAAAAAGAUCCAGUGACAGGCCACAACUGUCAUGUUACCACUGCAACAGCCCUGUUUCUAUUACCCAAGACUGUGACAAUAAUAUAUAUAAUGGUUGGUCCACGCCCAUGGCUCACCCACUAGGUCCCUUCUUUGAAGGCCUCUGUUAUUUCUCCAAAUUAAUUGCAGCAUUGAACCUCAACCUGAAUUGAUUGCUAGGGAGAAUAGUAGUUUUUAGGGGUCAUUGCUGCAGAGAUUUGCCACCAUGAGGUGAACAAAAACCACCACUUAAAUGGGUUUGUGUUUGAUCCAUACAAUGUUAAAACAAGACACUGGAGGUGAGUAAUACAUUUGCAUUGUGAGAGAGUAGAGUGAGAAGGUUUUUUUGAUGAAUUGGGUAUUCCAAUAUGGAGGGCAAAAAGAAAACAAUUGGGCUUAUGUAAUUCUUAGAAAAAUCAGAGAUAAAAAAGGAAGCACAGGCAAAGUUAUUUCACUUGUCUAUAUGGUGGUUACACUAGCCUUACUGUUACAAGAACAAGUUGUGAAGUCACACUCGAAAGCAAAGGAUGUGGCUAUCAUUUCCCAAAACAGGAGAGGAGAGCACUAAUGGGCAAACCCCUCCUAAUUGCAAUUUAUCCAAUAUAUUAUUAAUAUGUGUACAAAAUAUAUAAAUGAGAGAAAAAUAAUAAAAUCAUGCAACUUGACAAGACUCUUUAAUAAGCAGCUAAAUCCACAUCUCUUCUGUGGGGGAAGAAACAAAAGAUAGUGAAAUAUAGAUUCAAAGAGGGAUUUAGAGGAAUAUGGGCCAACAGAAUCCACCAAACAAAGUAGCUACUUUCAAUACUUGAAUUCCAAAAAUUCACCAUUGGCAGACAAUAGCAUUUCAUGAAAAACUUGCAAUAAUUGCUAGGCUAUCGUUUAUCAAGUAGGAAAACAAAUAGCAUAACCAUAAGCAUUAUUAUACACCAGCAAACCAAAAGAACCACGAGAAUCACAUCAAUCUGUCAGCACGUGGAAUUGAAUUAAAUUACUUACAUUUUACUUUCCAUAUAAAUCAUGAAUGAAUCUAUAAUCCAUCUUCAUGAACAAGGAAAAUCAACGUUUUCACAAAUUCUCAGAGCAGCAUCAUAAACUAUAGUAAAUCAAAAUAAUCCAAGUAUUUGAAUCCUAUAAGAUACCAGUAGCUAGCUACGAUAGAUAGCAAGAACAACAAAUCAGUAAAACGUGUCCUCAAAGCACCAAAUCCAUGCAAUUAUUAUACUGACUUAUCAGAAAACGCACAUCACCGUCACAAAUCUAAACAAUAUAAGUUACAAAAUUUGGGAGCUAACCUUGUUGCUGGAUCAACCUGUUUCAAUAGAGAGUUAUCAGGAACAACUACCUCAGAAACCGGGGUCUUCAUGGCCUUCUCCUGAUCCUCCAAGCUCUGAGCUCUAGCCAAAAACGCCACAAUAUCGAGAGAUUUAAGGAUACCCACAAACCUCUGCUGCCUCAUUUCGUUAUUCUCAAUCAUGGCCACGUGCGAUCUCCUCUUCCACACCGGAAUACCACACUCCGUUGACUCUCCAAUUGCCCGAAUCGCCGAUUCCACCGUCUCAGUCUCGCAGAAUUCCACCAUUUCCGGCUUUCCCACCGUCAGAUCCCCCACGACAUGGUAUAGAAACACCGACGCCAUCCAAAUUAACUGUUAAAACACAAUUGGAUAUCUUAAACAAUUCUUGAAUUAUUGCUGAAUAUCCGUUCCACCUUUUUCAACCAAACAGAAUCUGGGAAAAUCACUUUGUAAUAAACGGUAGAUAUAUAAAAUUUUGUGUGUCGCACCUUGGGAUUUUCUAUUUUGUCUGGUAAUGAGGAGUCUAUAUAAAAGGCGUCUCCUUUUUUCUCUUAUCCUCCAGAAAAUUGGAAAAUGGAGUCUGUAUGACAGUUUUUCUAUGGAAACAAUCAGAAAGAAAGAGAGUAUCAAAGUUACCGGGAUAACCGGUGAGGAAAGCGGAAGCUAUAACAGAGAGUGAAGGAAGAUGAGGAGCAGGUGAAGUCCGGUAAUGGGUAAACGAUGAAGAAUAAGAAGAAGAAGAAGAUUGGUGCUAGUGUUGAUAGGAAAGGAUAAAGAGAAGAAGAGAGAUUUGGCCAUUGAAGAACAACAGAAGAUGAAGGCCCAUGAAAUAUACUUCUUUCUCUAUCUCCCUCUCUCCGUGGAUCACUGCUCCGUCGCUCGUAGGUCGCAAAAGGCGUGAAAAUUAGACUCCCUUUACAGAGAAAGGGAAUAGAUUUUUU
This 4257-nucleotide unclassified non-coding RNA is filed under the name Hevea brasiliensis (rubber tree). Lineage: Eukaryota; Viridiplantae; Streptophyta; Magnoliopsida; Malpighiales; Euphorbiaceae. The record is from RNAcentral.